GAUUUCUGGUUUGGUGCGCGCUGUCCGGCUCGGUUACGGGCUGUGUACAGUUGUGCGCCUGCCAUCCUUCCGGUUGCGAUUCUACCCUUCACUGGGCCGGAGUCGUAUUCUGGGUCUUUUACUUUGAAAAAAUUAGAGUGUUUAAAGCAGGCUUGCGCUAUGAAUACAUUAGCAUGGAAUAAUAAUUUAGGACUUCUGUUCUAUUUUGUUGGUUUCUAGGAUGGAAGUAAUGAUUGAUAGGGAUAGUUGGGGGUGCUAGUAUUCAGCGGCCAGAGGUGAAAUUCUUGGAUUCGCUGAAGACUAACUUAUGCGAAAGCAUU
Molecule: ribosomal RNA, 320 nt
Filed under: uncultured Rhogostoma
Lineage: Eukaryota; Cercozoa; Thecofilosea; Cryomonadida
Also listed under: 1 other name
Description: bacterial SSU rRNA
Rfam family: Eukaryotic small subunit ribosomal RNA (bases 79-320)
Source: RNAcentral